GACGAACGCUGGCGGCGUGCUUAACACAUGCGAGUCGAACGGAAAGGCCCUGCUUUUGUGGGGUGCUCGAGUGGCGAACGGAUGAGUAACACGUGAGUAACCUGCCCUUGACUUUGGGAUAACUUCAGGAAACUGGGGCUAAUACCGGAUAGGAGCUCCUGCUGCAUGGUGGGGGUUGGAAAGUUUCGGCGGUUGGGGAUGGACUCGCGGCUUAUCAGCUUGUUGGUGGGGUAGUGGCUUACCAAGGCUUUGACGGGUAGCCGGCCUGAGAGGGUGACCGGCCACAUUGGGACUGAGAUACGGCCCAGACUCCUACGGGAGGCAGCAGUGGGGAAUAUUGCACAAUGGGCGGAAGCCUGAUGCAGCAACGCCGCGUGCGGGAUGACGGCCUUCGGGUUGUAAACCGCUUUCGCCUGUGACGAAGCGUGAGUGACGGUAAUGGGUAAAGAAGCACCGGCUAACUACGUG
This 468-nucleotide ribosomal RNA is filed under the name uncultured bacterium. RNAcentral's name for it is "partial 16S ribosomal RNA". It matches the Rfam family "Bacterial small subunit ribosomal RNA", at positions 28 to 507 of the family's 1533-position model. The record is from RNAcentral.